RNAcentral lists this ribosomal RNA (421 nucleotides) under uncultured bacterium. RNAcentral's name for it is "bacterial SSU rRNA". It matches the Rfam family "Bacterial small subunit ribosomal RNA", at positions 508 to 927 of the family's 1533-position model. The record is from RNAcentral.
UCAGCAGCCGCGGUAAGACAGAGGUGGCUAGCGUUGUUCGGAUUUAUUGGGCGUAAAGCGAACGCAGGUGGUUUGGUAAGUCAGGGGUGAAAGUCCGCAGCUUAACUGCGGCACUGCCUCUGAUACUGCCUUUCUUGAGUGCAUGAGGGGGAAGCGGAAUUCCGAGUGUAGAGGUGAAAUUCGUAGAUAUUCGGAGGAACACCGGUGGCGAAGGCGGCUUCCUGGCAUGUAACUGACACUCAUGUUCGAAAGCGUGGGUAGCAAACAGGAUUAGAUACCCUGGUAGUCCACGCCCUAAACGAUGGGCACUAGGUGUGGGAGGUAUCGACCCCUUCCGUGCCGCAGCUAACGCAUUAAGUGCCCCGCCUGGGGAGUACGGCCGCAAGGUUGAAACUCAAAGGAAUUGACGGGGGCCCGCACA